GCUUCUUUAGCUCAGUGGACAGAGCGCCGCUCUACGAAAGCGUGAGGUCAUAAGUUCGAAUCUUAUAAGAAGCA
This 74-nucleotide transfer RNA is filed under the name Caudoviricetes sp. RNAcentral's name for it is "tRNA-Arg". It matches the Rfam family "tRNA". From Rfam's summary of the family: Transfer RNA (tRNA) molecules are approximately 80 nucleotides in length. Their secondary structure includes four short double-helical elements and three loops (D, anti-codon, and T loops). The record is from RNAcentral. Lineage: Duplodnaviria; Heunggongvirae; Uroviricota; Caudoviricetes.